UACGUAGGGGGCAAGCGUUGUCCGGAUUUAUUGGGCGUAAAGAGCGUGUAGGCGGCCAGGUAGGUCCGUUGUGAAAACUCGAGGCUCAACCUCGAGACGCCGAUGGAAACCAUCUGGCUAGAGUCCGGAAGAGGAGAGUGGAAUUCCUGGUGUAGCGGUGGAAUGCGCAGAUAUCAGGAGGAACACCGGUGGCGAAGGCGGGAUCCUGGGCCAGUACUGACGCUGAGGAGCGAAAGCGUGGGGAGCAAACAGG
RNAcentral lists this ribosomal RNA (253 nucleotides) under uncultured bacterium. RNAcentral's name for it is "partial 16S ribosomal RNA". It matches the Rfam family "Bacterial small subunit ribosomal RNA", at positions 524 to 776 of the family's 1533-position model. The record is from RNAcentral.